This 266-nucleotide ribosomal RNA is filed under the name uncultured bacterium. RNAcentral describes it as "partial 16S ribosomal RNA". It matches the Rfam family "Bacterial small subunit ribosomal RNA", at positions 524 to 784 of the family's 1533-position model. The record is from RNAcentral.
UACGGAGGGUGCGAGCGUUGUCCGGAAUCAUUGGGCGUAAAGGGCGCGUAGGUGGCCCGGUCAGUUCGUGGUGAAAGCGCGGGGCUCAACCCUGCGUCGGCCAUGAAUACUGCCGCGGCUGGAGCACUGUAGAGGCAGGCGGAAUUCCGGGUGUAGCGGUGGAAUGCGUAGAGAUCCGGAAGAACACCGGUGGCGAAGGCGGCCUGCUGGGCAGUUGCUGGACACUGAGGCGCGGACAGCGUGGGGAGCAAACAGGGAUUAAGAUA